CAACCCCCUCGAGCCGACUAGGCUUGGUCUUGGGGCCCGCCCGCGUUGGCGCGGCGGCCCUUAAACCCAGUGGCGGUGCCGGUGGUGCUUUCCGCGUAGUCACGUUUCUCGCGCGAGGGCACGAUCUGGACCCAGCCAGCAACCAAGUCCGCGGCGCUGUGCGCUGCGACUUCUCUCU
Molecule: unclassified non-coding RNA, 178 nt
Filed under: Phyllactinia taurica
Lineage: Eukaryota; Fungi; Ascomycota; Leotiomycetes; Helotiales; Erysiphaceae
Description: Leveillula taurica sequence contains ITS2
Source: RNAcentral